Molecule: ribosomal RNA, 254 nt
Filed under: uncultured bacterium
Lineage: Bacteria
Description: partial 16S ribosomal RNA
Rfam family: Bacterial small subunit ribosomal RNA
Source: RNAcentral
UACGUAGGGAGCGAGCGUUGUCCGGAUUUAUUGGGCGUAAAGAGCGCGUAGGCGGCUUAGUAAGCCGGAUGUGAAACCCCCAAGCUCAACUUGAGGCGGCCAUUCGGAACUGCUAUGGCUAGAGUCUGGUAGGGGAACACGGAAUACCUGGUGUAGCGGUGAAAUGCGCAGAUAUCAGGAGGAACACCGGUGGCGAAGGCGGGAUCCUGGGCCAGUACUGACGCUGAGGAGCGAAAGCGUGGGGAGCAAACAGG